Molecule: ribosomal RNA, 119 nt
Filed under: Microcebus murinus (gray mouse lemur)
Lineage: Eukaryota; Metazoa; Chordata; Mammalia; Primates; Cheirogaleidae
Source: RNAcentral
GUCUAGGGCCACACCACCCUGAACGCGCCCCAUCUCGUCUGAUCUCCGAAGCUAAGCAGGGUCGGGCCUGGUUAGUACUUGGAUGUGAGACCGCCUGGGAAUACCGGGUGCCGUAGGCU